This 433-nucleotide ribosomal RNA is filed under the name uncultured bacterium. Its description in RNAcentral is "bacterial SSU rRNA". It matches the Rfam family "Bacterial small subunit ribosomal RNA", at positions 355 to 786 of the family's 1533-position model. The record is from RNAcentral.
UGAGGAAUAUUGGUCAAUGGGCGGGAGCCUGAACCAGCCAAGCCGCGUGGAGGAAGAAGGUACAGAGUAUCGUAAACUCCUUUUGUCAGGGGAUAAAAGGCGCCACGAGUGGCGUUCUGAAGGUACCUGAAGAAAAAGCAUCGGCUAACUCCGUGCCAGCAGCCGCGGUAAUACGGAGGAUGCGAGCGUUAUCCGGAUUUAUUGGGUUUAAAGGGUGCGUAGGCGGUCUUUUAAGUCAGCGGUGAAAGCCCGGGGCUCAACCCCGGCGAGCCGUUGAUACUGGGAGACUGGAGAGGAAGAGAGGCAUGCGGAAUUCGCGGUGUAGCGGUGGAAUGCUUAGAUAUCGCGAAGAACUCCGAUUGCGAAGGCAGCCUACUGGUCGCGGACUGACGCUGAGGCACGAAAGCGUGGGGAUCGAACAGGAUUAGAUACC